UGGGGAAUAUUGGGCAAUGGGCGCAAGCCUGACCCAGCAACGCCGCGUGAGGGAAGAAGGUCUUCGGAUUGUAAACCUCUGUCCUUGGGGACGAAAAAAAUGACGGUACCCAAGGAGGAAGCUCCGGCUAACUACGUGCCAGCAGCCGCGGUAAUACGUAGGGGGCGAGCGUUGUCCGGAAUUACUGGGCGUAAAGGGUGCGUAGGCGGCUUGGUAAGUCAGAGGUGAAAUCCCCGGGCUUAACGCGGGAAUUGCAUUUGAUACUGCUAGGCUUGAGUGCAGGAGAGGAAAGCGGAAUUCCUAGUGUAGCGGUGAAAUGCGUAGAUAUUAGGAGGAACACCAGUGGCGAAGGCGGCUUUCUGGACUGUAACUGACGCUGAGGCACGAAAGCGUGGGGAGCAAACA
This 405-nucleotide ribosomal RNA is filed under the name uncultured prokaryote. RNAcentral describes it as "bacterial SSU rRNA". It matches the Rfam family "Bacterial small subunit ribosomal RNA", at positions 355 to 774 of the family's 1533-position model. The record is from RNAcentral.